RNAcentral lists this ribosomal RNA (253 nucleotides) under uncultured bacterium. Its description in RNAcentral is "partial 16S ribosomal RNA". It matches the Rfam family "Bacterial small subunit ribosomal RNA", at positions 524 to 776 of the family's 1533-position model. The record is from RNAcentral.
UACGUAGGUGGCAAGCGUUGUCCGGAUUUAUUGGGUUUAAAGGGUGCGUAGGCGGUUCAUUAAGUCAGUGGUGAAAUACGGCAGCUUAACUGUCGAGGUGCCAUUGAUACUGGUGGACUUGAGUACUGAUGAGGUAGGCGGAAUGGACGGUGUAGGGGUGAAAUGCUUAGAGAUCGUCCAGAACACCGAUAGCGAAGGCAGCUUACUAAGGAGUAACUGACGCUGAGGCACGAAAGUGUGGGGAUCAAACAUG